UGUGUGUGUGUGUGUGUGUGUGUGUGUGUGUGUGUGUGCACUUUACCAGAGGAACCCAAGCGCGCGCAUCUGGCUCUGAGGAACAUCCAUCUGUAUUGAUCUGAUGUGUCAAGAGUUUCAGGCUCAGUGUUCAGGAAGUCACCUCAACUUCAACUUCAAGUUCUGUUUAAAAAUCACUGACAAUGCUGUUGGGAUAGGAAUGUUGGGGCCUGGCCUUGAGACCAAUCCUCUGCAGAUUGCUUUGUUCUUUUUCGCGAAGAACUUAAAUGUGACCAUUCCACAUUCCUGACCCCUGACCUCAUUUCUGAUUUCCGCGUGUGCACUGGUCCUGUCCCCUCUGCAGUUGUGAUUUGUGAACAUGGCAAAGCCCUACAAAUCAACAUGAGGGCUGCCACCAGCCUGAAGAGCUGAUCCAGAGUGGGCAGGAACACGGCAAGAUUACCUCUGAGAAGAAGGUCUCUGAGCCGCUGUCAUGCAACCCAUGAUGCUGUUUUACAGGAUGACACACCCCGUAGUCAUAUACACAUGCCGUCAGGACCAAGUUGCCAGUUAACUGAGGAGGCAGAGAAGGUAAAUUAUAAAUUAAAACAUGGCAUUAAAAUAUUAAAGUGUGCUCAAAAAUAUUACUGCAGUGUAAUACAGGGGACUUCAGUAUUAUCUGCAAAGAGUCAGUCAGUCAAAUUGGAGAAACCUAAUAGCUGUUUGAAGACCAAGAUCAACAGGGGGAAUUGGGUGUAACUCCUGAUCUCAUAUUUAAAAAUUCAAGCAUGUCACGUGACAGAAGAAUAAUGUGUCAUGGUUUCUGUUUCAUGUCUUUUAAAUGUGAGUUUUCAUGUGUCUGAAAAGCUUGUUUAACUAUUUUGAGUAGGCAGGGAGCAAAGUAAGAGUUAUGAUAUGGCACAACCACUAGAGGGAGCUUUUAAAUCAAUUUAAUGACUACAGAGCACUAGACAGAUGCGUGCGUGCGCACACACACACAAAAUCAUGGCUCAUGGCGUUUAAAUACAGAACAAUAUGUAUGAUGAGGUGGUACAGCUUGACUUUUGGAGGUCUGCAUUUUUGUGUGUGGUUGUGUGUGUGUGAGAGAGAGAGAGAGUGAGAAAGAGAGUGAGAGUUCCAUGGACAGCCCUGAUGCAGCUGAAGGUCAAUGAGGUCAUUUAAUCAGUUGCCACAGAAACCUAAAGGCGUUUAGACGUUUUGAAAAUACAAACAUGGCCUUUUCUUCCUAUGUUACGUCUCUGUGUGUGUGUGUGUCCAGGUCUCUAUGACUUAUCAUUUAUCAUUCAUCAUUUAUCGAGGAAACCGCACCCAUUUCA
Molecule: long non-coding RNA, 1316 nt
Organism: Ictalurus punctatus (channel catfish)
Lineage: Eukaryota; Metazoa; Chordata; Actinopteri; Siluriformes; Ictaluridae
Source: Ensembl